CAGCAGCCACCUCCUACCUCUUUGGGAC
RNAcentral lists this non-coding RNA (28 nucleotides) under Rattus norvegicus (Norway rat). The record is from RNAcentral. Lineage: Eukaryota; Metazoa; Chordata; Mammalia; Rodentia; Muridae.